AUUGAACGCUGGCGGCAGGCCUAACACAUGCAAGUCGAGCGGAGCGGCGGACGGGUGAGUAAUGCCUAGGCAUCUGCCUGGUAGUGGGGGAUAACGUCCGGAAACGGGCGCUAAUACCGCAUACUAUCAGAUGAGCCUAGGUGGGGUUAGCUAGUUGGUGGGGUAAAGGCCUCCCAAGGCGACGAUCCGUAACUGGGCUGAGAGGAUGACCAGCCACACUGGAACUGGGACACGGUCCAGACUCCUACGGGAGGCAGCAGUGGGGAAUAGUGCACAAUGGGCGCAAGCCGGAUGCAGCCAUGCCGCGUGUAUGAAGAAGGCCUUCGGGUUGUAAAGUACUUUCAGCGGGGAGGCGUUACCCGCAGAAGAAGCACCGGCUAACUCCGUGCCAGCCGCCGCGAUAAUUC
RNAcentral lists this ribosomal RNA (407 nucleotides) under uncultured bacterium. RNAcentral describes it as "partial 16S ribosomal RNA". It matches the Rfam family "Bacterial small subunit ribosomal RNA", at positions 29 to 526 of the family's 1533-position model. The record is from RNAcentral.